Molecule: long non-coding RNA, 6091 nt
Filed under: Marmota monax (woodchuck)
Lineage: Eukaryota; Metazoa; Chordata; Mammalia; Rodentia; Sciuridae
Source: RNAcentral
GAGCUGGCAACCUGAGGUGAGCGGGCCUUGGUCCCCGUUGUUAAAAGGGUGCAAUACAAAGAGUGGGUGGGAAACGGGAAGAAAGAGCAAACGCACCGGGAUUCAACCGCCCCGACAUCCUCCUCUCAGCUCUUUCCACAGCUGUCAACUUCACCUUUGCCCACUUCCAGUCGCCCGCCCCAAGGGACAUCAUCCAGACCACAGCCUAGGAGCGGAGUCUCUUUGGAAUCUGCCCCUUCCCAUAGUCACACUGCUGCACGGAAAAACAAAGGCUGUUUUUCUUGAAAACACAUUGCUAUAAUUUUUAAAUUUCCUUAUUGAUUUUAGUAAGUUUGCUUAAAGCAGGACGUGACUAUCAUUUCAUUUUUAAAAAUGACAGCUUUAUAUGCGCCAUAGUUCAUAUAUCAUAAACUUUACUUUUUAAAAGUGUACUAUUCAUUGGUUUUUAGUAUAUCCAGAGUCGGGCAAUCAACACCACUAACUAGUUUUAGAACAUUUUCAUUACUCCUUCCUAACACCUACCUAGAAGUACUCUCCAUUUCUCCUCAACUCUCCUACUUUAGGGAUCAUAAACCUGUUUCUUAACAAUUCUGGACAUUCCAUAUGACUGCAGUCAUUCAGUGUUGACCUAUUUGGGACCAGCUUCUUUCACUUAGCAUGUUUCUGAGUUUUAUCAAUGUUGUAAUAUGUAUUAGCCACAUUCCUUGUUGUGGGCUGAAUAGUAAUACAUUGUAUAGAUAUAUCACAUUUUAUUUAUCCAUGCAUCAGUUGAUGGGCUUUUUUUUCUGGAAAUUAUGGAGAUUAUGAACAAUGCUGCUAUGAACUUUUGUGUAGGAUUUUUUGUGGGACAUGUUUUCAUUUCUACUUGGGUAUAUAUCUAGGAGUGCAAUUACUGGAUCAUAUGGUAAGUUUAUGUUGAAUGUUUUGAGAAACAGAAUGUUUUCCAAAGUGGCCACACUACUUUGUUGGUCCAUUCUUUUUUUAAAAGUUAUGAUCACUCAUAGGAGAAAUGAAACACUAUGUGGUGUCUUAGGCAUUGCUGGGGUCUGAAUAUUUGCAUCUCCUUAAAUUCCAUAUAUUGAAACCUAAUCAUCAAUUGGAUAGGAGGUGGCACCCUUAGGAGGUGAUUGGAUCAUGAGAGCAGACACAGCUAGAAGUCACCAUUUAUGAUCCAGAAAGCAUGCUCUUAUUGGAUAGCAACCCUGCUGGUGCCUUGAUCUUGAACUUUCUAGUCUCAACAACUGUGAGAAUUAAAUUUAUGCUGUUUAUAAACCAUACAGCCUAGGGUAUUGUGCUAUAGCAGCCAGAAUGGACUAAAACAGGUAUUGUGCUAGGAGCUCGGGACAUAUUGUUGAGAAAAACAGUGGUUCCCUACCUUCAUGAAGCUUACAGUCCAGCAGCAGAGAGAUGUUCAACAUGUGAAAUAUGUUAUUAACCAAAUGGGACCAAAAUGAUAAUAAUAAAAUGAUUAAAAGGAAGUUAUAUAAAAUGAAUACCAGUGGAGGCAUGAUGAAGUUAAAUUAAUAGGAAGAAAAUGCAUAACUCAGGUUUCUCACAGUCUGGGCAAAACUUUAAAAUUGCUUUAUUUUUGUCCCUGCCAGCCUGGACCAGGUUUAUACACCUAGGCAGUGGUGACUCCUUUGAGAAUCUGAAGAAAACCUCAUCCUUGAAAAAUUUCUCAAUCUUUAGCAAUGUGGGGACCCCUCUGAAAUUCAACUCUGGGUUCUAUGGAGGAAAGAAGUCCAGCCUAAGUUCCUCUAGUUGAAGGGUUUAAGUUCUUCCCUAUGAGUCUCUGCCUGGGCAGUUGGGCGGUGUGGUGCGUAGGUUGUCUAUCAGAAUCACUCUGCCUGCCUGUCAACAAAGCAGACCUAUUAUCCAACUUUCUGGGUGUGUAUCCUUGGAAUAAGCAUGGCUUCCUGAGGCUUCUGUAAUAAAUUACCAGAAAUAAUGUGGUUUCAAGAAACGGAAAUGGAUUCUUUCCCAGAAUGGAGGCCAGAAAUGGGAAAUCAGUUUCAUUGUCCUAAAGUCAAGAUGUAGGCAGAGCUGCACUCCCUCUAGGGGGACGGGGGAGAAUCUCUUCCUUUCUUCUUUUCUGCAGCUUCUGGUGACUGCCUGGCCUCGACUGCAUCCCCCUGAUCCUUCUCUGCCUUUGUGGUCACAUUGCCUUCUCCUUUGUGUCUGUCAAAUCUCACUCUGUCGUGAUACUUGUAAUUGCAUUUAUGUCUACUCAAGUAAUCCACAGUAAUCUCUCCAUCUGGAGUUCCCUAACUUGAUCACAAUUGCAAAGAUCCUUUUGCCAGCUUUAUAUGCACCACAGUUCAUAUACCAUAAACUUUACUUUUUAAAAGUGUACUAUUCAUUGGUUUUUAGUAUAUGCUCCCUUUACAGGUUGUAGGGAUUAGGAUCUGAGCCUCCUACUCUGUUUCUCCACUGUGUUUCCUGGGAGUCUGGUGGGAAACACUGGUAUAUGGAGAUGGCCGUCAGAGGGAAGCUGCUUAUAGUCAUUGGCCCUGGUGGCUCACAGAAAAACUUAUGGGAAGAGUGUGGGCUGUUGGGGCCUGCACAAGGUAGACUGCAAUACCGCACCCCCCGCCCCGCCUCCUUGCAGCUGUGACUUAGGGCAGAGCAUUGGACCUCUCUACACUUGUGUGUGUUCCUACCUAGAAAAGGAAGGUGAUGGGACCCACCUUAGUGUUGCAGUGAUUCUUAGAAAUCCUGUAGGUCAAGAAAGGCACAUGUCAAUAGCAAAAGUUACAACUGUCAUUCUCUUGCCUAGGAGGAGCCUCAGGUCCACAAAAAACAAAAGUAAAUAAGAAAGAAAAAGUCCAAAGAGUGUGAACGUGUGAAGAGGAACCUCAGCCAAUGAUGGGGAGACACAUGGCUCAGCUCUUGCUUCUCUUUCCUACCUGCCCCCUGGGAGGUCUCCUGGGUCUUCUGGCUAUACAUACUCGGCCUGUGCCUCCCAAAUGCAUUUCUCCAGUCAGACCUCUUUCCCCAGUUUUUUUUUUUUUUUAAUUAAGGUACAUAUAUAGGAAAAUGAUUACUAUAGAGAAACACAGUCGUCUCACAGUUACCUACUCUCCCCAUCCCACCCCCAAUAAGAGCAGCUAUAAUCCACUCUUUUAGUCAAAGUCCUAAAUACAUUAGGUCUCCCCCUUGUUCAUCCCACAUAUUCGCUACUUUGUAGUGUCUGAUUUACAUCUUUCCAUUUCCUUCUCUACACCUCAACUCUGGUGACCACUGUUUUAUUCUUAAUAUUUUGAACUCAUUUUUAAACACAAUUCAUGUAUUAGAGCAUGCAAUGUUUUUCUUUCUGUGGCUGGCUUAUUUCCACUUGGUACAACAUCCUCUAAGUCCAUCCAUGUUGUGGCAAACGGCAGAACCUCCUCCUUUUAAAAGGCUGAAUACUAUUCCAUUGUGUAUGCAGUGCACAUGCUCCACAGUUUCUUUAGCCAUUCGUCCACUGCUGGGCACUUAGGUUGUCUCCACAUCUUAGCGAUUGUGAAUACUGUUGCAGUGAACAUGGGAGGGGAGAGGACUUCAUGAGUGGUUCCAUUUCCUUUGGGUGUAUGUCCAGAAGAGGGAUUGCUGGACAAAAUGGUAGUUCUAGUUUUAAUUUAGGAAUUUCCAUAAUGGCUGUGCCAGUUCAUUCGACAGCAUAUAGUCAGUUCUUGUUUUUUCACAUUUAUGCUAAAACUUGUUAUCCCAGGGCUGGGAAUGCGGCUCAGUGGUUAAGUACCCCUGGGUUAAAUUCCCAGUACCAAAAAUCAAACCAAACCAAAACAGCUUUUUUUUUUUUUUUUAAAUAAAACACCCCUACUCCCAGAGUCUGGCUAAAUGACCCACACUGGCCUCCAAUCCAACUCACGGACUUCUUGCUUCAGCAUCCCAAGUAGCUGGAAUUACAGGUAUGUGCUACCAUACACAGCUUUAAUCUCUUGUGUUUUUGAUAAUAGCUGUCCUAACAGGUGGGAGGUGGUAUUUCAUAGGAGUUUUGAUUUGCAUUUCUCUAAUUCUUAGUAAUUUUGAGCACCUUUUCAUGUACAUUUGUCCCCCCCCCCCUUUUUUUUGGUGCUGGGAAUUGAACCCAGGGCCUUGUGCAUUCGAGACAAGCACUCUACGGACUGAGCUAUAUCAGCCCCACAUUUGGCCAUUUUUAUGUCCUCUUUGGAGAGAAAAAUCUAUUCAAACCCUUUGCCCAUUUAUUUUUAGUAAGGCUGUGUGUGUGUGUGUGUGUGUAUGUGUAUACACACAUAUUUUUUUUUUUACUGUUGAGUCAUGUGAGUUUUUGUAUAUCUUGAAUAUUAACCACAAUCUGAUAGUCAUGUGUUACUUAAUGAUGGGGACAUGUUCUGAGAGCUGCAUCAUUAAGUGAUUUCAGCAUUGUGUGAACAUCACAAUGAAUUUACAUGAACUAGAUAGUACAGCCUACUACACUUGGUCUACAUGGUAUGAGUAUUGCAAAAAAAAUUUCCCUAAACUCUAGUUAUCUUUUCAUUUUGUUGAUUGUUUCCUUUGCUAUGCAGAAGAUUUUUAAUUUGAUGUAGUCCUAUUUAUUUAAUUUUGCUUUUGUUGCUUAAGCUUUUGGUGUGAUAUCCAAGAAAUCACUGUCAAGGCUAAUGUCAAGUGCCACAGUCUGGCUGGGCACAAAUGCCGCAGUCUGGCUGGGCACACAAUCACGAGCCACCACACAGCUUGUAGAUUCAAACAGCAACUCUUUAUUCCCGAACUCACACCAGCCGUCUACAAUCACGUUCUGGGGAAAUCCACGUUCUCUGCCCAAAUCCACCUCCACUGGGCUUCUAUCUCCAAAAUAUACUGUCUGAAUCCCGUGAGAACUCAAGGGGAACUCAGGCAGCAGGAUACGCCCUAUUCCCAGCAGGAAUAAUCUUAAACCUUAAACCUGGAACCUAAACUGGGAACGCCCUAAACAAGAUUAUCUUAAAACCGGGAACACCCUAAUCUGCCUUGGUCCUUGAGCAAGGUCACUUACAUUCAAUGUCACUGCAACAUGUCAGCAACAUGGGGUACGCUGGCAAGGAAAUUGUCAUACCUACUUGGCUAAUGGCUCCCAGCAGUCAAGUAGCUUUUCCUCUGUGUUUUCUUCUAGGACCUUUAUGUUUUCAGAUUUUAUGUCUUUUCUCCAUAUUGAUUUUUGUGUAUGGGAUAAGAGGAAGGUUCAAUUUCAUUCUUUUGACUAUGGAAAUCCUGUUUCUUUUUAGCACUAUUAUUUGAUCCUUUCUCCACUACGGCUUUUGGUGCCUUUGCUGAAAAUUAGUUGACCAUAUAUGUUUGGAUUUAUUCUGAGCUUUCUAUUUCAUUGGUCUCUGUGUCUGUGUGUGCAUGCACAUGCCGUGUUUGUGAUACUUGGGAUUGAACCCAGGGCCUCAUGCAAACUAGCCAAGUGCUCUACUGCUGCACUACAUCCUCCACCCUUACAAAUUUUAUUUUGAGCCAGGGUCUUGCUAAUCUUCCCAGGUUCAAACUGGCUAUCCUCCUGCCUCAUUCUCCCAAGUAGCUGGGAUUAUAGGCAUGCACCACUGCACCCCAUUUAUGUGUCUCUUUUUAUGCCAGCACCAUACUAUUUUAGAUACUGUCGUUUUGUGGUAUAAUUUAAAUAAUUUAAAAUCAGCAAAUGCGCUCUCUCAGCCUUACCACCAUCUUCUUGGAAACUUCUGUGCCAUGAGAGCCAAGCAGCAAAUGCACAGGCUGAAGUGCAAAAGAAGAAAGAUGAGGCAGAAGGUCCAAGUAAACCAACCUGUGCACCGUGGAGGCCAAGGGAGCAGAAAUAAGGAAAGCUGGAGACUGGGGACAUGGGUACAACUUGUUGGACUGCCUACUACUGUCCAGAAUUUGUGUUGGAGGAUCUAGAGCUUCUAUGGCCAUCCCAUCAUCAACACCAUCCCAUCAUCAACACCACCUCUGAGAGAAGACCCACCUUGCUCAUAACAGCACCUGUUGGUCCUUUGCCCGGGACCUUUGGCAUCCUGGACUAGUUUGUUUCUCAGUUGCAGCUGAGUGUGCUGUUUUAACUGAAGAAUAAAAAAUAACUAUAUAAAAUCAGCAAAUGUGGGCUGGGGCUGGGGCUGGG